This 1777-nucleotide ribosomal RNA is filed under the name Triticum aestivum (bread wheat). Its description in RNAcentral is "partial small subunit ribosomal RNA". The record is from RNAcentral. Lineage: Eukaryota; Viridiplantae; Streptophyta; Magnoliopsida; Poales; Poaceae.
GAGGUGAUGUUGUUAUAGGUGAAGUUAAAUGUGGACAGGAUUUUUCACGCGAUGAAACGUCAUGUCCGGGUACGGUCGCAGGCAGACGGAGGCAAUUUAAGGGGGUAGGUCUUUAGAGGAGCGGAGGGGAUCGGAGGGGAGGGGGAGGUUAGGCUCUUUGUUACCGCCUUAGGGAGCACCCGCCAAGGUGGGGAGAGGGGCAGACUUCGCAUGAACACAGAGUCGAGCUAAGGCACGGCACGGACGGGCUCUUAGACACCGGCCGCCGUCUAAACCAGCGGUUCAAGGCUCGAAAGGGCAGCCCGACCACGAAGCCCUGUGUUAGGGUCUAGCAAAACCGAGGCCUACUUCCGAAGAAGCGGCGUGCAGGCGACUAGGCUUCGCCUUAACCGCCGGGAGGUUGGCAGCGGCGGACUAUCCACGGGUGGACCUUCCGUAACUCCCGACUGCGGCUUGUUCAAGACUUUGAAAAGGCACGGGACCUCCGACCUCGUUAGACAGCAGCUUAGCGAACCGUUAGCCGACGCCGAACCUCGCGUCUACCCCCGCCCCCGAAGCUCGGACCUCCCCAGCCUCCCCACCCCAGUCUGCAGCGACCCGCUGUACGGCCUCUCGACGCACCGCGGCCACGACGAGAUGGAGCUGGGCGGCCUCUAUACGGAGCAGCGGGCGGAGUUGGCCCGCAAGGCGCCGCGCCGGAGGCGGCUGACGCAGACCCGGUGGUUCGAAGGGCGGUUGAUGGCCAUGGAGCGGCGGGAGCGGCGCCGCCGGCUGCUGCUAUCGUCGUCGCUGCCGAGCCACCUCCCGUUACCAUCCACGAGGAGGAGGCACCGCUGGUUCUUCCUCUUCAUGCGCGCGGACACGUCCGGUUGGGGGAAGCUAUCCCCGUGGUUCCUUAAAACCUAGGUUUUCUCGUUCCCACCAGAAACGUACAGGUAGAGGAGUUUCCGAAACCGCUAAUGGCCAUAGCUACUAGCCGCCAUAACCUCGGUGGAAUGGUGUCUACUCAGCUCUAAGGUAUCACAACGGAUGGAAGUCGUUUAUACCACCGACCUCCACCGACCCCUCUAACUAAAGACGAAGGGACGACCAAGUAUAUCGGAAGAGAAGGCCGAGGUGAACCCGGCCGGUGUGUUCGCGUACCCGGCCGCCCAGAUACUGAGACUCGAGUAGAUGCCAACCCUGUAAUUUGGCUGUGCCAAAGUCGAGAGUUGAAGUCUACCGGUCGUGUGUUGUAGGCUGAUGGUAGAUCUACCGGGUCCUGUGACCUAGGAAAUGGUACAGCCACUAAAACAGUAAAGCUCAAGCCUACUCAACUGGUUCGAGUUCAAGAGAUACUACGUCUAACUAACGUGCGUAUGUUUUCCACCGGAUACACAGCUGAGACAAAAGUAAAUAGGAUUCCUAGUAGUCGGGCUCCUCACGUAUGCGUUCAUUAAAACGUUUGGACGACAUAGUGAGGUACACCGUUAGCUAUCCGCCACGGAUCGGAAAAAGUAUCGGUAAGAACAGGUUUUGGGCAACAUUUAUAAGAAGUAAAAAGAUUACCAAAACGUACCUGGACCUCAGUACAAUACAUAAGAAACAUCACUAUCAAUUUAUUCAACCGGAGUCCUCCUAAAUCUACAUCCACCACUACAUACUAAUCUCACCAUCCACAAGUAGACAUCUUUCUCGUCAAAGUAAACAAGCAGUAACAACAUCACUACAAAAACAUUUAUGUAAAAGGACCUAGGACAGAGAUGAAGCAACUUGGAUCAAUAAAGAGUUGUGAAUA